GUUUCCUGGCGGAGCGAUAUUUGUUUACUGGCUGAGGGCAGUACUGGGAGUGAGUAGCUCUGCCAGAAGGCGGCUGACAUAAAUUAAUAUUGAAAUUACUCCAUCAGCCCCACCGGCCCCCUGUCGCACCCCCCAAGCGGAGACUGGGCUUCCUGUCUUUUUGCCAUGCACUUGUUGCAGAAGCAGCCAAGGCCCCGGCUCCGGAGGAUGCAGAAGGAGGAAGGCACCAGAGUAGCCCGGCCCUGAACGCACCACCCUCACCUCCUGCAACAGGUAGCGUCUCUGGGGUUCUUGGCACCAGAACAGUGUGUGGCAAAGGGUGUGUGCAGCCUCUUCUCACUGUGGUGGCAUUUGGUCUGGACCUCAGCGUGGGUGAGGAUGUAAAACCCCCCGCUCUGCACAUGCGUGGUCCAGGCCAGCAGGAACCCCCAGCCCCGGCCACCCUCACGCACAUGUCAGCCGUGGAGUAG
RNAcentral lists this long non-coding RNA (470 nucleotides) under Heterocephalus glaber (naked mole-rat). RNAcentral describes it as "lncRNA (ENSHGLG00100042283.1)". The record is from RNAcentral. Lineage: Eukaryota; Metazoa; Chordata; Mammalia; Rodentia; Bathyergidae.